GGGGCGCCUGUGGGAGUCGUGGAGGGAACUUUCCCAGGCCCCGAGGCGGAUCGGGUAUUGAGUCCAUGGAGCGAGCUGAGAGCUAGAGAACCUGCUAAGGCCAUCAAACCUAUCGAUCGGAAGUCAGUCCAUCAGAUUUGCUCUGGGCCGGUGGUACUGAGUCUAAGCACUGCGGUGAAGGAGUUAGUAGAAAACAGUCUGGAUGCUGGUGCCACCAAUAUUGCGAUGUCACCAUUUCUACCUGCCACGCAUCGGCGAAGGUUGGGACUCGACUGGUGUUUGAUCACGAUGGGAAAAUCAUCCAGAAAACCCCCUACCCCCACCCCAGAGGGACCACAGUCAGCGUGAAGCAGUUAUUUUCUACACUACCUGUGCACCAUAAGGAAUUUCAAAGGAAUAUUAAGAAGACGUGCCUGUUUCCCCUUCGCCUUCUGCCGUGAUUGUCAGUUUCCUGAGGCCUCCCCAGCCAUGCUUCCUGUACAGCCUGCAGAACUGAUGGCCGUAUAAGAAAAUAAACAACUUGCUAAAACUGCUGAAACUCCCUCUGCUUGUGAGAUUUAAAAAAACUGGCUGAAAUUGGUUGGAACCAACAUGUCCAAUGGAGUCUGAAUAGAAAGAGCUUGCUGACAUCACAGCCCGAAUUUCCACCACAUUUCAUACUAACUCCCCCUGAAUUUGCAUAUGCAAACCACAAGCAAGCAUGAUCAAACAGACAACUGCGCGUGUCCGAGGACUUUCCAGAUCUCCCCUUUCCUUCCACCAAUCACUUACUAAUCUGAGAAUCCAUCCCCUAAUAAAAUCACUGCCUUAAAGCCUGCACAGGAAGACAAAUUUGA
Long non-coding RNA from Homo sapiens (human), 836 nucleotides. Ensembl annotates it as PMS1 homolog 2, mismatch repair system component pseudogene 4. Its record names the gene PMS2P4. The record is from Ensembl. Lineage: Eukaryota; Metazoa; Chordata; Mammalia; Primates; Hominidae.